CCAAAUUGUAGCCGCCGCCGCACUCGCGCGCGCUGCUCGCGAAAGGCCCCUAAAGAUAAAAUAUGUGUCUGUGUGNGCGGCGCGCGCCUGCGCGCAUCAAGCGGCCAUUGCUGAGGAGGACCUUGUUUCUUUUCAUCAGCUUUUGUCUUUUCUACUGGAUGGAAGCAUGUAAAAAAUGAUACUGAAGAGAAACAAUGUUGGUCCUCGAUAUUCAAGGCUUUCUUUCACUUGCAUCGGUCUUUGCCACAUGACACCUAGUGAAGCAGCAAGCUCCAGAGUUGCCUGUUCCUCUGUUUGCUUACACUCUUGAUGACAUCACAUUUUUCUUCACCUGCCAGAAAAUUCUCGAGCUGGGAGCUCCUAUGGUAAUAUUUGAGCAGCCUUGGAUAUGCAAACUCUCCUUCCUCUGAACAGAAAAGGAAGAUGCUGGGCUCUUCACAAGGAGGGAAGAAGGGAAGGAAAAAGAAGAGAAGGAAGGAAGAACUGGUCACAUCAUAUUUGGCUUCAGAGUCUCGAAAUAUUGUACAGUGGCUAAGAGGACCUAAGUGCUCACCAAGUGCAAAACAAGCCAGAAAACCUCCAAACACAGCAGGACAUCUUAGCACUGCAGAACUGUCCCCAC
This 622-nucleotide long non-coding RNA is filed under the name Salvator merianae (Argentine black and white tegu). Its description in RNAcentral is "lncRNA (ENSSMRG00000004883.1)". The record is from RNAcentral. Lineage: Eukaryota; Metazoa; Chordata; Lepidosauria; Squamata; Teiidae.